RNAcentral lists this ribosomal RNA (76 nucleotides) under Struveopsis siamensis. RNAcentral describes it as "partial 18S ribosomal RNA". It matches the Rfam family "Eukaryotic small subunit ribosomal RNA", at positions 1760 to 1831 of the family's 1831-position model. The record is from RNAcentral. Lineage: Eukaryota; Viridiplantae; Chlorophyta; Ulvophyceae; Cladophorales; Siphonocladaceae.
UGAACCCUCUCACCUAGAGGAAGGAGAAGUCGUAACAAGGUCUCCGUAGGUGAACCUGCGGAGGGAUCCAUAGCAA